UACGGGGGGAGCAAGCGUUGUUCGGAUUUACUGGGCGUAAAGGGCGCGUAGGCGGCCACUGCAAGUCGGUUGUGAAAUCUCCGGGCUUAACCCGGAAAGGUCAAUCGAUACUGCAGGGCUAGAGUGCAGAAGGGGCAACUGGAAUUCUCGGUGUAGCGGUGAAAUGCGUAGAUAUCGAGAGGAACACCUGCGGCGAAGGCGGGUUGCUGGGCUGACACUGACGCUGGGGCGCGAAAGCCAGGGGAGCGAACGGG
RNAcentral lists this ribosomal RNA (254 nucleotides) under uncultured bacterium. RNAcentral's name for it is "partial 16S ribosomal RNA". It matches the Rfam family "Bacterial small subunit ribosomal RNA", at positions 524 to 776 of the family's 1533-position model. The record is from RNAcentral.